CAGAUUGAUUCCCAGCUGGCCCUGGAGAGAGGUUCAUUACCACAGUUGUUGAAGAAUCUUGGGGUUUUCAACAGAUGAGCAGAUAUUAGACAAUCGAGCUAAAGGUCUCCUGAGGAGGAGGCAACUGUCCUGAUUGUGUCUCCUCGGACUCAGACAUCACAGCCACACCAAAUCUCCUGGAAGCACGAGGCAAAGGAAGAAGAAUUCGGCUUAGCCGAGAGACGGGAUGGAUAUCGGGGCCCCUGCAGAAUCCCCUCCUCCCAUCUCUUUUUCACUCUCUCUCGCUGACUUUUCAUUCUGUGCCGUGGAAGAUUUACUGUAAUCUGGCAGAUCAAAGGCGAGCAUCGCAAUCCUAUUCCCCUAAUCCAGUUUGAUGGUGACUUUUGCACAUGUAAUAACACUGGCAAAAAGAGAGAUCGCUUUUAAGCACUGCUUUUUUUUUCCUCCCUCUGUUGUCACAGUAAUAAUCAUAUUUAUAAAAACAGAGUCAAAGCCAGUGCUAUUUUAGUCCCUGAUAACACUUUGCAUUAAUAAUCAUGUCACAACUGAUAUUUUUCACCCUAUCAUACUUGCAGUAUGCAUGCUGCUGAUAUCAUCUCUUAGGAUUUUCAUUUGAUACAAACCUAACUAAAAUAAAGUUAUUAUUGAAACAUG
This is a long non-coding RNA of Oreochromis niloticus (Nile tilapia), 654 nucleotides long. RefSeq lists it as uncharacterized. The record is from RefSeq and is a predicted model, not a curated record. Lineage: Eukaryota; Metazoa; Chordata; Actinopteri; Cichliformes; Cichlidae. The transcript has 2 exons.